GCAACUGCCAAAAACAUAGCAUAUUCUGUGGUUCAUCUCAAUCCCGGAGAUAUUUCUGGCUCUUCUCAGCAUCCGAAAAAGAGACAGAAAUUUCCUUGCAACACAGAAACUUCCUUGCAACAUAGAGACUUCUUUGCAACAUUUCAGCGGCAUUGGAACAACUCUAUGUUUCGUCUUGCAAUAUGGGUUUGCUUGGUUUCUGUCGUUCAUGUUGGAAUUUCAACAGAGGUACGCGGCUGUGAUGCAGCUGGAGGCAGGUGCACCGAAGUGGGGGAAGGGAGGGGGAGGGGGUGCCAUGCCCUCCCUUUCACCUGCGGGGAAGGAGAGAUUUGCUGUGAGGAAGCUGAAGAAGUUCGAAAGCAGGAAACAGGGAAAAAUCCGAAAAACAAAAAUUCGGUUAAGAGGUUAAGAGAACG
Molecule: long non-coding RNA, 416 nt
Organism: Penaeus monodon (black tiger shrimp)
Lineage: Eukaryota; Metazoa; Arthropoda; Malacostraca; Decapoda; Penaeidae
Exons: 3
Source: RefSeq, a predicted model, not a curated record